UAGGGAAUCUUCCGCAAUGGGCGAAAGCCUGACGGAGCAACGCCGCGUGAGUGAUGAAGGUCUUCGGAUCGUAAAACUCUGUUAUUAGGGAAGAACAAAUGUGUAAGUAACUAUGCACGUCUUGACGGUACCUAAUCAGAAAGCGACGGCUAACUACGUGCCAGCAGCCGCGGUAAUACGUAGGUGGCAAGCGUUAUCCGGAAUUAUUGGGCGUAAAGCGCGCGUAGGCGGUUUUUUAAGUCUGAUGUGAAAGCCCACGGCUCAACCGUGUAGGGUCAUUGGAAACUGGAAAACUUGAGUGCAGAAGAGGAAAGUGGAGUUCCAUGUGUAGCGGUGAAAUGCGCAGAGAUAUGGAGGAACACCAGUGGCGAAGGCGACUUUCUGGUCUGUAACUGACGCUGAUGUGCGAAAGCGUGGGGAUCAAACAGG
This 429-nucleotide ribosomal RNA is filed under the name Acidobacteriota bacterium. Its description in RNAcentral is "Acidobacteria bacterium partial 16S ribosomal RNA". It matches the Rfam family "Bacterial small subunit ribosomal RNA", at positions 355 to 776 of the family's 1533-position model. Lineage: Bacteria; Pseudomonadati; Acidobacteriota. The record is from RNAcentral.